GGUGGCCGAGUAGGCGGCGAGUUGUAGCCUCGUGUACGGGCAAGAGUGCCCCCCAACCA
Molecule: transfer RNA, 59 nt
Filed under: Cyrtodactylus dati (Dat bend-toed gecko)
Lineage: Eukaryota; Metazoa; Chordata; Lepidosauria; Squamata; Gekkonidae
Description: tRNA-Tyr
Source: RNAcentral